Molecule: long non-coding RNA, 512 nt
Organism: Osmia lignaria (orchard mason bee)
Lineage: Eukaryota; Metazoa; Arthropoda; Insecta; Hymenoptera; Megachilidae
Source: RefSeq, a predicted model, not a curated record
GAAAGUAGAGUCAUUACAAUUGUUCGCCGGAAAUUAUUCUCGGUCGCGUUACUUUAUAUCUUUAUUUUUUUUUCUUUUUUUUUUCUUUAAUUGCUCGAUAUAUUCGGGAUUAGAGUCAAAGCACCACUGAAGAGGAGUUUUGGGCGUUGCUCCAUAAGGAAAGAGUAUGAAUUUUUUGAUUGCCGAGUUCCUGGAUAUCCUGAUGAUGGCUUUCUUCACGACUUCCGCCUUGAUGAACAGCUUUCUUCACGACUUCCGUCUUCUCCUACAAGGCAGCCUGCUACCUGGUGUUUGACUGUCGGAAGAAGAGUAUAUCUGCGAACGGUGAGUCGCAUGUUUUAUGGUUCCUCCGGUGCCCAAUCAUGUCGUAGGACGAAUGGUCCGAAUCGACACGGGUUACCGGUUGUAUACUUGGUUGGCAAGCAUAGUGACCAUGGGUAUGAUUAUACCCAUGUGUAGUAACAUUUUUAUUGUUUCAUUUCAUUUAGUUAGUUCAGGCUAGGUCUUCUUGU